CAUGUCUAGCUUGCUAGAAGAUGUCGAGUGGCGGACGGGUGAGUAAUGCUUGGGAACUUGCCUUUGCGAGGGGGAUAACAGUUGGAAACGACUGCUAAUACCGCAUAAUGUCUACGGACCAAACGGGGCUUAGGCUCCGGCGCAAAGAGAGGCCCAAGUGAGAUUAGCUAGUUGGUGAGGUAAGAGCUCACCAAGGCAACGAUCUCUAGCUGUUCUGAGAGGAAGAUCAGCCACACUGGGACUGUGACACGGCCCAGACUCCUACGGGAGGCAGCAGUGGGGAAUAUUGCACAAUGGGGGAAACCCUGAUGCAGCCAUGCCGCGUGUGUGAAGAAGGCCUUCGGGUUGUAAGGCACUUUCAGUUGUGAGGAAAAGUUGGUAGUUAAUACCUGCCAGCCGUGACGUCAGCAACAGAAGAAGCACCGGCUAACUCCGUGCCAGCAGCCGCGGUAAUACGGAGGGUGCAAGCGUUAAUCGGAAUUACUGGGCGUAAAGCGCACGCAGGCGGUUUGUUAAGCUAGAUGUGAAAGCCCCGGGCUCAACCUGGGACGGUCAUUUAGAACUGGCAGACUAGAGUCUCGGAGAGGGGAGUGGAAUUCCAGGUGUAGCGGUGAAAUGCGUAGAUAUCUGGAGGAACAUCAGUGGCGAAGGCGACUCUCUGGCCAAAGACUGACGCUCAGGUGCGAAAGUGUGGGUAGCGAACAGGAUUGGAUACCCUGGUAGUCCACACCGUAAACGCUGUCUACUAGCUGUUUGUGGAUUUAAUCCGUGAGUAGCGAAGCUAACUCGCUAAGUAGACCGCCUGGGGAGUACGGCCGCAAGGGUUAAAACUCAAAUGAAUUGACGGGGGCCCGCACAAGCGGUGGAGCAUGUGGUUUAAUUCGAUGCAACGCGAAGAACCU
RNAcentral lists this ribosomal RNA (902 nucleotides) under uncultured bacterium. Its description in RNAcentral is "bacterial SSU rRNA". It matches the Rfam family "Bacterial small subunit ribosomal RNA", at positions 70 to 971 of the family's 1533-position model. The record is from RNAcentral.